CCUACGGGAGACAGCAGUGAGGAAUAUUGGUCAAUGGGCGAGAGCCUGAACCAGCCAAGUCGCGUGAGGGAAUACUGCCCUAUGGGUUGUAAACCUCUUUUGUCGGGGAGCAAAGGCCGGACGUGUCCGGCUGGGAGGGUACCCUGAGAAAAAGCAUCGGGUAACUCCGUUCCAACAGCCGGCGUAAUACGGGGGGUGCGAGCGUUAAUCGGGAUUACUGGGCGUAAAGCGCUCGUAGGUGGUAUGUCAAGUCAAGGGUGAAAUCCCCGCGUUCAACGUGGGAACUGCCUUUGAAACUGGCAAACUGGAGUGUGUGAGAGGAUAGUGGAAUGCGAGGUGUAGGAGUGAAAUCCGUAGAUAUCUGGAGGAACAUCAGUGGCGAAGGCGACUAUCUGGCACAUAACUGACGCUGAGGAGCGAAAGCGUGGGUAGCAAACAGGAUUAGAUACCCCAGUAGUC
RNAcentral lists this ribosomal RNA (459 nucleotides) under uncultured bacterium. Its description in RNAcentral is "partial 16S ribosomal RNA". It matches the Rfam family "Bacterial small subunit ribosomal RNA", at positions 338 to 795 of the family's 1533-position model. The record is from RNAcentral.